GAAACGCGAUAGUUAAUGUGAAUUGCAUAAUUCAGUGAAUCAUCGAGUCUUUGAACGCACAUUGCGCCCAUAGGUAUUCCUUUGGGCAUGUCUGUUUGAGCGUCAUUACAACCCUCAGCUAACCGCUGGUUUUGAACCUGAACGGGUGACACCGCGCCGGUUUUAAAGUUGUAAGCUCUGCUGGCCGCUCUGCCCAACCAGAACAUAGUAAGCACUACUUGUCCGGGUGAAGCUGAACGGUACGGCCUGAACAAAACCUACCCACUCUCAAGGUUUGACCUCAGAUCAGACAAGGAUACCCGCUGAACUUAAGC
Molecule: unclassified non-coding RNA, 314 nt
Filed under: plant metagenome
Description: partial contains 5.8S ribosomal RNA, internal transcribed spacer 2, and large subunit ribosomal RNA
Rfam family: 5.8S ribosomal RNA (bases 1-105)
Source: RNAcentral